GUCCAUUCUGGUGGGGGCCGACGACCAACCCGCGUUCCUGAUGCCGGUGUCGGACACACGGGUGGAUGACUGCGCGUUCUGGUUUGUUCGACGGGCGC
RNAcentral lists this transfer RNA (98 nucleotides) under Candidatus Latescibacteria bacterium ADurb.Bin168. RNAcentral describes it as "tRNA-Arg". Lineage: Bacteria; Pseudomonadati; Candidatus Latescibacterota. The record is from RNAcentral.